GACGAACGCUGGCGGCGUGCUUAACACAUGCAAGUCGAACGGAAAGGCCCUGCUUUUGUGGGGUGCUCGAGUGGCGAACGGGUGAGUAACACGUGAGUAACCUGCCCUUGACUUUGGGAUAACUUCAGGAAACUGGGGCUAAUACCGGAUAGGAGCUACUGCAGCAUGGUGGGGGUUGGAAAGUUUCGGCGGUUGGGGAUGGACUCGCGGGUUAUCAGCUUGUUGGGGGGGUAGUGGCUUACCAAGGCUUUGACGGGUAGCCGGCCUGAGAGGGUGACCGGCCACAUUGGGACUGAGAUACGGCCCAGUCUCCUAUGGGAGGCAGCAGUGGGGAAUAUUGCACAAUGGGCGGAAGCCUGAUGCAGCAACGCCGCGUGCGGGAUGACGGCCUACGGGUUGUAAACCGCUUUCGCCUGUGACGAAGCGUGAGUGACGGUAAUGGGUAAAGAAGCAACGGCUAACUACGUG
This 468-nucleotide ribosomal RNA is filed under the name uncultured bacterium. RNAcentral's name for it is "partial 16S ribosomal RNA". It matches the Rfam family "Bacterial small subunit ribosomal RNA", at positions 28 to 507 of the family's 1533-position model. The record is from RNAcentral.